RNAcentral lists this long non-coding RNA (1052 nucleotides) under Homo sapiens (human). RNAcentral describes it as "HSALNT0116128". Lineage: Eukaryota; Metazoa; Chordata; Mammalia; Primates; Hominidae. The record is from RNAcentral.
CACAUACACUCACACACCCCGUCCCUUUCCCUCCUCGCAGAAGCCGAGGAGAUGCCAUGUGAGGGUGCAGCGAGGAGUUGGGCUGUCUAAAAGCAAAGAAAGAGAUUGCAUCAGACACCGCAUCUGCUGACACCUUGUUCUUGGACUUCCAGCUUCCAAAACCGCGAGAAAUAAAUGUCUGUGUCUAAACCCCAACCCUACCACCUCAACUGCCGUGUGUGGUGUUUUGUGAUGGCAGCCCCAGCUGACUGAGACACCUGGUUAGACCGGAAUAAGCAGGCUGCAAUCGGUAGCAGUCACCAUUGAACAUCCUUGAAGCAAUUCUUCCAAAAUUACCUUGCAUCAAAGACUGCACAAGAACUGCUCUAAGCGGAAGGACUGAUGUCGGCAACCAGGGUUCCACCAGGGGCUGCAGACAGCCCUUGACCUUCAGGUGGGAAGGUGUCACUGAGUUCAGACCCUCUGGCAAUCCCUAGCUAUCAACAUUUUGAUAAGAAAAUAAGUGGAAAGGUAAAAUUAGACAAAGACAUUAUUACCUUAGAGGACAAUUAAGCAUUGGUGGCUAAUCUAAACAUAUCCUUACAAUUUUUAUUUUAGUACUAGCUAUGAUUUAUUGUAGGUUUUCCAUCUGUGCCAGGCACUAACAGCACUAUGAAUUGCCUAUACCACGCUACAAUCACCAGAUUUUUCUCUUUUAUUAUUACCACUUAUAGAUCAGGACAUUGAAACUCAUUUGCCCAAAGUAUGCCAAUGGAAAUUGGUGGAGCCAGGUUCUAACCCAAAUAUCUAGGUCUUAAGUGAUUACUUUUAACCACUGUACUGCAAUUUACUACUGGGAGGAGGAAUAAUAAUAUCUAUACUUGAUUGAUUAAUGCCUACAUACUAAUCACUUUACUAAGCUCUUUUUUAAAUGUUUCAUUUCAUUUGUAAUUGACACAUAGCAAUUGUACAUAUUUAUGGGGUUCAGUGUGAUGUUUCAGUGCAUGGAUAUAUUGUAUAAUGAUCAAUUAGGGUAAUCAGCAUAUCUAUCACUUUAAACAUUUAUCCUUUCU